AGAAUCAAACUAGUCCAAAGGACUGUUGAGGAACAAUUGCACUGCUAUAUCUUUCAUGUUUGUGGAAGAAGAAAGCCCAUGUGAAGCCAACUUCUGAUUCAUAUUACUGUCAGGAUGUCUUGAAGCCUCACCCUUUUGCUCACACAGUUCUGGUUAGUGAUUCAUUAAAGUUAAUACUAAUAACGCUCAUAAACACAUUUUGGGAAUGCUGACAACUUUCUUCUGGAAUGGUGGUUUGUGAAGUCUCCUUCCCCUUCCCUACACCAGAAAUGAUGCAACCAGGGUAGGAGCAGGCAGUGUUACAUGCUGGAAACCUAAUGUGCAUUGCAAAUGACAACAUCCACAGUUGGGUGAGGAACUGUUCUGCCCCAGCUUGCAGACCCUUAGGAGCUUCCUGCUUUUGUUCUAUGAAAAUCAGCUAACAUUAUUUGGGCAUUGUUGUUUACUUCCUUGGAAACAGCAUCAGACCCUAAUGUACAAUCAAAAUCAAUAGCAAAACCUUCAUCAACUUCCAGGAAAAACAGAUCAAGUUUUGCCUUGUGCAAGCAAAAAUGUCCAAUUUUCAUCUUUAAGAUAAUGCUAGGGGCCAGAGACAGCCACCAUGAUGACAGAGUAGAGAGUUGCCGUUAUGUGCUGCAGAGGAUGGUGCUAAUUGGAUCUUCAGGGAGGGAGAGUCUUUUCUCCUGGCAACUACCACAGAAAUUGAGGGUGAAAUUUUCUUCAAGUCCAAAGAGGAUCUAAGGAUCUCAUCAUCCAGAAAGAAGAGAGGUGCCACCAGCCUGAGCCUGUACUAGGCAGCUGCAGACAACCCUCAGGAAAUGGGCAACAUGCCAUGUGAGAGGCCAGCAAGAGACCUAGCAGCAAGCCCAUGUGUUGCUGCUGCCAGAGAUCACCCUGGAAGUUGAGUGUAUAUAUAUAUAUACACGCACACUAUAUAUAUGCAAUAU
Molecule: long non-coding RNA, 947 nt
Filed under: Anas platyrhynchos platyrhynchos (common mallard)
Lineage: Eukaryota; Metazoa; Chordata; Aves; Anseriformes; Anatidae
Description: lncRNA (ENSAPLG00000019669.1)
Source: RNAcentral